Molecule: ribosomal RNA, 436 nt
Filed under: uncultured fungus
Lineage: Eukaryota; Fungi
Description: eukaryotic LSU rRNA
Rfam family: Eukaryotic large subunit ribosomal RNA (bases 265-436)
Source: RNAcentral
ACGCACCUUGCGCCCCUUGGUAUUCCGAGGGGCACACCCGUUUGAGUGUCGUGAAAUUCUCAACUCAAAUACUUUUGCGAGUGUUUGGGCUUGGACUUGGGGGUCUGCCGGCCUGUCCCGGCUCCCCUCGAAUGCAUUAGCUCGGACCCUUGCGGAUCAGCUAUCGGUGUGAUAAUUGUCUACGCCGUGGUUUGUGAUGCCACCUUUCAGGUGUUGAGGGAUCGGCUUCUAACCGUCCCCCCCGGGACAAUUAACUUUGAAAUCUGACCUCAAAUCGGGUGGGACUACCCGCUGAACUUAAGCAUAUCAAUAAGCGGAGGAAAAGAAACUAACAAGGAUUCCCCUAGUAACUGCGAGUGAAGCGGGAAAAGCUCAAAUUUAAAAUCUGGCGGUCUUUGGCCGUCCGAGUUGUAGUCUGGAGAAGCGUUUUCCGUGC